UACGUAGGGGGCGAGCGUUGUCCGGAAUCAUUGGGCGUAAAGCGCGUGUAGGCGGCCCGGUAAGUCCGCUGUGAAAGUCCAGGGCUCAACCCUGGGAUGCCGGUGGAUACUGUCGGGCUCGAGUCCGGAAGAGGCGAGUGGAAUUCCUGGUGUAGCGGUGAAAUGCGCAGAUAUCAGGAGGAACACCGGUGGCGAAGGCGGGUCUCUGGGCCGUAACUGACGCUGAGGCGCGAAAGCGUUGGGGAGCAAACAGG
Molecule: ribosomal RNA, 254 nt
Filed under: uncultured bacterium
Lineage: Bacteria
Description: partial 16S ribosomal RNA
Rfam family: Bacterial small subunit ribosomal RNA
Source: RNAcentral